RNAcentral lists this transfer RNA (72 nucleotides) under Ovis aries (sheep). It matches the Rfam family "tRNA". Rfam says of the family: Transfer RNA (tRNA) molecules are approximately 80 nucleotides in length. The record is from Rfam by way of RNAcentral. Lineage: Eukaryota; Metazoa; Chordata; Mammalia; Artiodactyla; Bovidae.
UCCCUGAUGGCUCAGCUGGUAAAGAAUUCAGCUGCAAUGUGGGAGACCUGGGUUCGAUUCCUGGUUUGGGAA